CGCAGGCCAAAAGCAGACUAAGCGAUCAAGAUCCAGUAUCUCCCAUACGGUCCAGCUGGAGCUCUUAUUUGGAUUUGGGAGUGCAUCACGCACCACUGUGGAUCAGAGCUCCACGCUGGCAAA
Non-coding RNA from Chelonoidis abingdonii (Abingdon island giant tortoise), 123 nucleotides. NCBI's taxonomy places the organism in Eukaryota, Metazoa, Chordata, Testudines, Testudinidae. The record is from RefSeq and is a predicted model, not a curated record.